CCUAAUCACCAUCCAAGCCCAAACAAACAAACCCAUCGCCCUCCGAUGGAAACCUCUCCCAGUCCAGUGCCAACACACUCCCCUCCCCUCCCACGGACUUCUUGCUAGCACUAGAACAGAACAGUAUUUCACCCAAGAUUCACCAACCCCACCCCCACAAUGUAAUAUGUAAUGUAAUCAAUCUAGUACAAGGUCGAUUGAUUGCUCUGCCCUCAAAUCUUCUAGAUUCCUCUCCCCCUUCCCCGAUUUCCUCGUCUUGGAUUGGAUAUAUAUAGAUUGAACCCUUCCCCAUGUGCUCCUCUCACGCCCAAUCUCCUAUGCUUUCUUGAAUUCCGCCGCGGGUCCGGCAAUCAUGAUUUCCGCCGGAAGCCUUAACCCGCUGAUUGCAGGCGUCAAUUAUAGGCGUUCGAAGCUUAGGAUCUGUUGUUCGAAGCAGAAUCCGAAGGGCGCUAUGGAGUUUAGAAGGUCGAGGAAGACGCCGUUGGUGAAUCCGGUUAUCAUUCGGCCGGAGGAAGGAGCCGGUGGCGUUAAGCAUCGAAGGUCGGAGAAAGAGAUGGCGUCGAGGAGAAAAUCCGGAGUGGGGAACAUGGAAAUGAUGGUUCUGUGUGGAGUUGGGUACUAUGUGAAUGGAUUCCGAGGGUUUCCAUGGCUGGCACUGAAUUUCCACAUGGCGCACAAUCUGAACAUGAAUCCGUCCACAUUGCAGCUUGUGCAGAACUCUGGGAAUUUCCCCAUGGUCGCCAAGCCCUUGUAUGGAAUUCUGUCUGAUGCUCUUUACAUUGGUGGCGCUCAUAGAAUUCCUUAUGUUUCCAUUGGAGUUUUGUUGCAGGUUUUAUCUUGGGGAUCAUUGGCCUUGAUUCCGAUAGCUAGCGAAGCGCGCCCGGCUCUUAUGGCGUGCGUUCUUUUGAGCAACCUCGGAGCAUCAAUCCAAGAAGUUGCUAAGGAUGCUCUGGUGGCUGAGUAUGGCCACAAGAACAGAACACCUGGCCUUCAAACCUACGCGUUCAUGGCCUCCGCCAUUGGUGGGGUUCUUGGGAACUUGCUCGGAGGAUUUUUCCUGGCGAAGACGCUCCAAACUAAGACAAUGUUUUUAGCCUUUGCUGCUCUGCUCGGGCUUCAGCUCACUGUCUCUCUAAAAACAAGAGAGGACUCUCUUGGUUUACCUAAACUCUCGACUUCCGGCAUUGUUAGGGAAUCAGUGUCUCAAACCAUCAAGAGGCAGUAUUCAGAACUCAUAUUGGCGAUCAAAGAAGAAAGCAUCUCCCGCCCUCUAAUCUGGGUUGUCUCGUCGAUUGUAUUGAUCCCUAUUUUGUCGGGUUCAAUUUUUUGCUACCAAACUCAGUGUUUGAAUCUGAAUCCUUCGAUCAUUGGGAUGUCGAAAGUCACUGGCCAGCUGAUGCUCCUUUCCUUGGCCAUACUGUACGAUCGAUUUGGGAAAGGCAUACCCCUGAGAAAAUUAGCCGGGACUGUGCAAAUCUUGUAUGCAUUUGCGCUUCUCCUCGAUCUUCUACUGGUCUGGCAGAUUAACACUCAGAUAGGAAUUCCAAACUAUAUUUUUGUGCUGUGUUUCUCGGGAUUAGCAGAGAUCAUCUCACAGUUCAAGGUGUUACCGUUCCAUGUUCUCUUUGCGAGUUUGGCGCCGCCCGGUUGUGAAGGAUCAAUGAUGUCUUUCUUGGCUUCUGCACUGUGUUUGUCGUCCAUAUUUAGUGGAUUUCUUGGCGUCGGAUUGGCUUCAUUCCUCGGAAUAACUUCUGGGAAUUACUCGACUCUCCCUUUGGGGAUCAUGAUACAGUUCGUGGCGGCGCUGUUGCCUCUAUGGUGGAUUAAGUACGUGCCUUUGUGGCAAGCCGUGCCUGAGAAGACGAUGAAGAAAGUUUCCGGGAGGAGUAAAAGAAACAGAAGAAAGCGUAGAGUGGGGAGAUCCAUGCUCGAUUCGUAUUCGCAUUGUCGCGAAAGAGAAACGGAUUUGCAGAGAUGAAGAAGUGUUUUCUUGAGUGAAUCGUCAACAAAUAAGUUGAUGGAUGAUUCGGAUAUGCUUCCUUGGAUGAAGGCAGCUUGUGUUCAUUUCGUCUUCACCAUUGAGGAACCCUCUCGACCCUUCCUUCUUCGCCGCCAAGUGCAGCGCCUCCAAAAAUUCCGACGUCCAUCCGAUGGCGCAGGAAGGUCGCCGCCACGUCAAUCGGACUUUCCGCCGCACAGGCUUCAGCUUCAGCACGCGGCGGCGACCACGGCCGUCAUUAGAUCGGAGAUGCUGUCGCUCCUCAAUCGAAGUCGAGUUCCCGAAGAACAUCGACGGGAUGUGGCAGACUGUCGACUUCAGAGAAAAUUACAAAAAUAUCUCAUACGUAUACCCCAUUAUCACUUUUGUCCUAUAUUUAUUUUGCUGGCAAAAGUACGAUGAGUCCUUGUUCUGCACAAUCAGCAUUUUCUCAUCAACCUCCUUCGUGCGCAUUUUGCCGCGGAACAUGGUAGAGGCGGUUAGGUAUCGGCCAUGGCGAGGAACGGCUGCGCUGGGAAUCGCAGACAGCAUGUCAGACUCAUUUAUUUUAAACACGGGCGUGUUUGAACCAAUUUUAAUACGCCCGUAUUUGUAAAAAUACAAAAUUAUUUUAUUAAAUUGAUACAACACGCCCGUGUUAUGAUUAAUAUGG
RNA transcript from Andrographis paniculata, 2651 nucleotides. It is a transcript of the gene named probable folate-biopterin transporter 9, chloroplastic, with no coding region annotated. The record is from RefSeq and is a predicted model, not a curated record. The transcript has 3 exons. Lineage: Eukaryota; Viridiplantae; Streptophyta; Magnoliopsida; Lamiales; Acanthaceae.